CCUACGGGAGGCAGCAGUGAGGAAUAUUGGUCAAUGGACGCGAGUCUGAACCAGCCAAGUAGCGUGAAGGAUGACUGCCCUAUGGGUUGUAAACUUCUUUUAUAAAGGAAUAAAGCGAGGCACGUGUGCCUUUUUGCAUGUACUUUAUGAAUAAGGAUCGGCUAACUCCGUGCCAGCAGCCGCGGUAAUACGGAGGAUCCGAGCGUUAUCCGGAUUUAUUGGGUUUAAAGGGAGCGUAGAUGGGUUGUAAAGUCAGUGGUAAAAUUGGGGGGCUCAACCUUAAAUUGCCAUUGAAUCUGGCAGUCUUGAGUAGAGUUGAGGUAGGCGGAAUUCGUGGUGUAGCGGUGAAAUGCUUAGAUAUCACGAAGAACCCCGAUUGCGAAGGCAGCAUACUAAA
RNAcentral lists this ribosomal RNA (397 nucleotides) under uncultured bacterium. Its description in RNAcentral is "partial 16S ribosomal RNA". It matches the Rfam family "Bacterial small subunit ribosomal RNA", at positions 338 to 733 of the family's 1533-position model. The record is from RNAcentral.